Non-coding RNA from Pelobates cultripes (western spadefoot toad), 102 nucleotides. NCBI's taxonomy places the organism in Eukaryota, Metazoa, Chordata, Amphibia, Anura, Pelobatidae. The record is from the annotation of a GenBank genome assembly.
CUCCAGCAGACCCUCCCUCCCAGACCCUCCUACUUCCUGGACAGUUGAAACAUGGAUGCUGUCCAGGAAGUAGGAGGGUCUGGGAGGGAGGGUCUGCUGGAG